CCUACGGGAGGCAGCAGUGAGGAAUAUUGGUCAAUGGUCGGGAGACUGAACCAGCCAAGCCGCGUGAGGGAUGAAGGUACAGAGUAUCGUAAACCUCUUUUGUCAGGGAACAAAGGCGGGGACGUGUCCCCGGAUGAGUGUACCUGAAGAAAAAGCAUCGGCUAACUCCGCGCCAGCAGCCGCGGUAAUACGGAGGAUGCGAGCGGUAUCCGGAUUUAGUGGGUUUAAAGGGUGCGCAGGCGGGCUGGUAAUGCAGCGGUCAAAGCCCGGGGCUCACCCCCGGCCCGCCGUUGAAACGGGCAGUCUUGAUUUGGAGAGAGGUAUGCGGAAUGCGCGGUGUAGCGGUGAAAUGCAUAGAUAUCGCGCAGAACUCCGAUUGCGAAGGCAGCAUGCCGGCUCCACACUGACGCGGAGGCACGAAAGCGUGGGUAUCGAACAGGAUUAGAUACCCUGGUAGUC
This 459-nucleotide ribosomal RNA is filed under the name uncultured bacterium. RNAcentral describes it as "partial 16S ribosomal RNA". It matches the Rfam family "Bacterial small subunit ribosomal RNA", at positions 338 to 795 of the family's 1533-position model. The record is from RNAcentral.